RNAcentral lists this transfer RNA (72 nucleotides) under Ictidomys tridecemlineatus (thirteen-lined ground squirrel). RNAcentral's name for it is "Spermophilus tridecemlineatus (thirteen-lined ground squirrel) tRNA". It matches the Rfam family "tRNA". From Rfam's summary of the family: Transfer RNA (tRNA) molecules are approximately 80 nucleotides in length. Their secondary structure includes four short double-helical elements and three loops (D, anti-codon, and T loops). The record is from Rfam by way of RNAcentral. Lineage: Eukaryota; Metazoa; Chordata; Mammalia; Rodentia; Sciuridae.
AGGGGGUUGGCACAGUGGUAAAGCACAUGCUUCACAAGCAUGAGGCUCUAGGUUCAAUCCCCAGGAUCUCUC